UCUGUGGUGAAGAGACAGCAGCAACAAACAAAAGAAAACUAACAGAGAGCAGACGUGUUCUAGUUGCUUCUUUGGAAAUAACGGGACACUGGUGCUGCGUCAAAGGAUGCAAUAGUAAUUCUAAACAGAAAACAGCAGAUGGGGCCUUACGGUUUUUCGUAUUCCCCACUUGGAAAAAAAAAUACGGACCGCAGACAGAGGACUUAACAAAGAGGCGUCGGGCUCCGUGGGUCGCUGCUGUAAGAAGGAAAGACAUCACGUUUCAUAAAAUAUCUCCUCAUGUUCGUGUUUGCUCUCGGCAUUUUCACAAAGGUCAACCCGCAUAUGAGAUGAUGGAGACUGACCCAGACUGGGCUCCAUCCCUGCAUCUGGGCCACACUGACAUCAGACCAACAGACACAGACCGCUCUUUAAGACGUGGUUAUCGGGAACAGCUGAAAAAGAAUACCCUGCAAGCAACUUAAACGGGGCUCCAUCAGGCUGAUGAAAUCCUUCAGCGACAGGAUGAAGUUACACAUGAGGCGACAGAGAACCCUAACCAGCAACAGACUGACACGCAGAAGACUGCUGAAAACGUUGGCCGGCCAAACACCAAGGAUGACAGAAGGUGGUCGUCAGGAAGGACAGACAGAAUGUAACCUGUGUGUGCUCAGGUGUGCAGAGAUGAACCGUCUUUUGGAAGAAAACAGAGAGCUGCGGCGUGAACUUGAUGAGCUGCAGAUCUCUGAUUGCUUCUUUGGAGAGAGUAAUAAAAAGUCAAGUACUAUACGGGUCUACCAAACUUGGCAACCUUUAUGGCUUUGUUUAAUUUUCUGCUGCCUCUCAUGUCUGCUCAAAAUAAAAUUCUCAGUCCAUUUCAAA
Long non-coding RNA from Cyprinodon tularosa, 861 nucleotides. RefSeq lists it as uncharacterized. Lineage: Eukaryota; Metazoa; Chordata; Actinopteri; Cyprinodontiformes; Cyprinodontidae. The record is from RefSeq and is a predicted model, not a curated record. The transcript has 2 exons.